This 616-nucleotide long non-coding RNA is filed under the name Sorghum bicolor (sorghum). Its description in RNAcentral is "long non-coding RNA (SBIC_LNC013235)". The record is from RNAcentral. Lineage: Eukaryota; Viridiplantae; Streptophyta; Magnoliopsida; Poales; Poaceae.
AAGCCCAAAGUAAAAAAACUACAUAUCUCUUCCAUAAUUACGCAAAUAUUGUUCAAACGGAUAAAUUGUAAUCACACAUAUACAUAAACUACAAGUAUAUGAUGGGUAAUUCAGGUACCAGGUAUCAAUACCGGAAUCAAUUUUUGAUACGUAUCGAGUUACUAUCUAAAAUUGUAAUCGAUCCGGUAUUCCAGGUACGGGUAGUUUGAGGCCGAAUGAUAAUUUAGGUUUGAGAAAUCAAAAUUUGAUAUCGAGUUACUAUCUAAAAUUUUGAUCGGGUAUUUCAGGUAAAGGUAAUUUGAGACCAAAUAAUAAUUUGGGUUUGCGAAUGGAUAUGCCUCUCUCCCCCCACCCCAACACACACACAUCCUCUUGUUUAGUUCCCACCAAAAUCCAAAAAAUUUUCAAAAUUGCCCGUCACAUCAAAUCUUAAGGCACAUGCAUGGAGCAUUAAAUAUAGAUAAAAACAAAAAAUAAUUAUAUAGUUUGUCUGUAAAUUGCGAGACAAAAUCUUUUAAGCCUAGUUACUUUAUGAUUGGACAAUGUUUGUCAAAUAAAAAUAAAAGUGCUAUAGUUGCGAAAUCCAAAAAUUUUUCACAACUAAACAACACGCAAA